This 301-nucleotide ribosomal RNA is filed under the name Isochrysis galbana. RNAcentral describes it as "partial Bacterial large subunit ribosomal RNA". It matches the Rfam family "Bacterial large subunit ribosomal RNA", at positions 1151 to 1458 of the family's 2925-position model. Lineage: Eukaryota; Haptophyta; Isochrysidales; Isochrysidaceae. The record is from RNAcentral.
GAGGAGUUCGGCGCCGAUAAUGAUCGGGAAUAAGAUUCUAACCGAAGCUGCGGGCUACUUAUGUAGCGGUAGAGGAGCGUUCCAGGCAGCAUUGAAGCGAAACGGGCAACGUUUCGUGGAGCGCCCGGAAGUGAUUAUGUGGGUUUGAGUAACGAUAAUGCUGGUGAAAAUCCAGCACGCCGAAAGUCUAAGGUUUCCUGGGGAAGGUAAAUCCGCCCAGGGUCAGCCGGGACCUAAGGUGAGGCCGAAAGGCGUAGCCGAUGGACGGCAGGUUAAUAUUCCUGCGCUACUGUGGAGAUCA